CUGGCUAUUCCUUCCCACAUUUGGAAAGGAAAUGCCACCUCCCCAAAGGAAAAGAACGUGUGGGUAUUAAGAUAUUUCGGAAGCUCGCUCUUCAGGACACUAAAUAUCAACACUACAUCCUUUUGAAAAAGAGCUAGUAAUGAAGAACUAUCUUUGAAGAGAGCUUUAAAGGGCAUCUGAUAACAGCAGGAGUCCUGAAUCUGGUUUCCAAAGACUGACUUGGCUUUCUGCUCUUCUAAAGGAUGGAGCUGUGGGAAGCAUUGGGCUUCUCUGUGGAUGGAGAGGAUGCUAUCCUUCUAAAAGAUCAAGGAGUCACUAAAACGAUGAGCAGGAGGAGUUCAGAGAAACCUGGAAGGACUUUCAUGAACUGAUGAUGAGUGAGAUGAGCAGAACCAGAAGAACAUUAUACACAGUAUCAUCAACAUUAUGUGUUGAUCAACUAUGAUAGACUAGAUUCUCCUCUGCAAUUCAACGGUACAAGAGAGUUCCGAAGGACUCAUGAUGGAAAAAGCUCUCCAAAUCCAGAAAAACAAAAAAGGAACUGUGGAACAUGGAUGCUGAUUGGACCAUACUAUUUCUUUUGUU
Dromiciops gliroides (monito del monte) is the source of this 585-nucleotide long non-coding RNA. RefSeq lists it as uncharacterized. The transcript is spliced from 4 exons. NCBI's taxonomy places the organism in Eukaryota, Metazoa, Chordata, Mammalia, Microbiotheria, Microbiotheriidae. The record is from RefSeq and is a predicted model, not a curated record.